GCUGAGGUUUUAAUGGGUCUAGGGUUAGUUGGUAUAGUGCUGAGGUUUUAAUGGGUCUAGGGUUAGUUGGUAUAGUGCUGAGGUUUUAAUGGGUGUAGGGUUAGUUGAUAUAGUGGUGAUGUUUUAAUGGGUGUAGGGUUAGUUAGUUGGUAUAGUGGUGAAGUUUUAAUGGGUGUAGGGUUAGUUGGUAUAGUGCUGAGGUUUUAAUGGGUCUAGGGUUAGUUGGUAUAGUGCUGAGGUUUUAAUGGGUGUAGGGUUAGUUGGUAUAGUGCUGAGGUUUUAAUGGGUGUAGGGUUAGUUGAUAUAGUGGUGAUGUUUUAAUGGGUGUAGGGUUAGUUAGUUGGUAUAGUGGUGAGGUUUUAAUGGGUGUAGGGUUAGUUGGUAUAGUGCUGAGGUUUUAAUGGGUGUAGGGUUAGUUGGUAUAGUGGUGAGGUUUUAAUGGGUGUAGGGUUAGUUGGUAUAGCGGUGAUGUUUUAAUGGGUGCAGGGUUAGUUGGUAUAGUGGUGGGGUUUUAAUGGGUGUAGGGUUAGUUGGUAUAGUGCUGAGGUUUUAAUGGGUGUAGGGUUAGUUAGUUGGUAUAGUGCUGAGGUUUUAAUGGGUGUAGGGUUAGUUGGUAUAGUGCUGAGGUUUUAAUGGGUGUAGGGUUAGUUGGUAUAGUGGUGGGGUUUUAAUGGGUGUAGGGUUAGUUGGUAUAGUGCUGAGGUUUUAAUGGGUGUAGGAUUAGUUGGUAUAGUGCUGAGGUUUUAAUGGGUGUAGGGUUAGUUGGUAUAGUGGUGGGGUUUUAAUGGGUGUAGGGUUAGUUGGUAUAGUGGUGAGUUUUAAUGGGUGUAGGAUUAGUUGCUAUAGUGCUGAGGUUUUAAUGGGUGUAGGGUUAGUAUCUAUAGUGGUGAGUUUUAAUGGGUGUAGAGUUAGUAUCUAUAGUGGUGAGUUUUAAUGGGUGUAGGGUUAGUAUCUAUAGUGGUGAGUUUUAAUGGGUGUAGGGUUAGUAUCUAUAGUGGUGAGUUUUAAUGGGUGUAGAGUUAGUAUCUAUAGUGGUGAGUUUUAAUGGGUGUAGGGUUAGUUGGUAUAGUGCUGAGGUUUUAAUGGGUGUAGAGUUAGUAUCUAUAGUGGUGAGUUUUAAUGGGUGUAGGGUUAGUAUCUAUAGUGGUGAGUUUUAAUGGGUGUAGAGUUAGUAUCUA
This 1178-nucleotide long non-coding RNA is filed under the name Salmo salar (Atlantic salmon). RNAcentral describes it as "lncRNA (ENSSSAG00000087140.1, ENSSSAG00000093565.1)". The record is from RNAcentral. Lineage: Eukaryota; Metazoa; Chordata; Actinopteri; Salmoniformes; Salmonidae.